RNAcentral lists this transfer RNA (84 nucleotides) under Elusimicrobia bacterium CG1_02_37_114. RNAcentral describes it as "tRNA-Leu". It matches the Rfam family "tRNA". From Rfam's summary of the family: Transfer RNA (tRNA) molecules are approximately 80 nucleotides in length. Their secondary structure includes four short double-helical elements and three loops (D, anti-codon, and T loops). The record is from RNAcentral. RNAcentral also lists the same sequence under 2 other names. Lineage: Bacteria; Pseudomonadati; Elusimicrobiota.
GGGCGAAUGGCGGAAUUGGUAUACGCGUAGCGUUCAGGACGCUAUUCUCGAAAGGGAGUCAGGGUUCAAGUCCCUGUUCGCCCA